Ceratotherium simum simum (southern white rhinoceros) is the source of this 266-nucleotide non-coding RNA. The record is from RefSeq and is a predicted model, not a curated record. Lineage: Eukaryota; Metazoa; Chordata; Mammalia; Perissodactyla; Rhinocerotidae.
GAUCAUCCAACCCUCCAGUUCCCAGAGUAAGAAAUUAAAUAAAUAAAAACAUUAUUGGACUUGAUAACAGGAAAACAUUACUUAACACAUAACAUAUAAUGACUCUAGGACAUAAGAUAUUGGACUCAAAUAGAAAUUUUUAUCAUAGUUUUUUUUAAUGUACCAUAUAUUUGAUAAAAGCAUAAUAAUAAAGAGAAUACCCAUAUGCCCAACCUUAUCAGAGAUUUUUAACAGUCACCUUAUUCUUUAGUGUCAGCUUAUUCUUU